RNAcentral lists this microRNA precursor (80 nucleotides) under Sorex araneus (European shrew). RNAcentral's name for it is "miRNA (ENSSARG00000016876.1)". The record is from RNAcentral. Lineage: Eukaryota; Metazoa; Chordata; Mammalia; Eulipotyphla; Soricidae.
GAGUGUGUGUGUGUGUGUGUGUGUGUGUGUGUGUGUGUGUGUGUGUGCGCGCACGUGCGCGUGCGCUACCCACACGCCCA